This 248-nucleotide ribosomal RNA is filed under the name uncultured bacterium. RNAcentral describes it as "partial 16S ribosomal RNA". It matches the Rfam family "Bacterial small subunit ribosomal RNA", at positions 524 to 776 of the family's 1533-position model. The record is from RNAcentral.
UACGGGGGGGGGCAAGCGUUGUUCGGAAUUACUGGGCGUAAAGGGCUCGUAGGUGGCCAACUAAGUCAGACGUGAAAUCCCUCAGCUUAACUGGGGAACUGCGUCUGAUACUGGAUGGCUUGAGUUUGGGAGAGGGACGCGGAAUUCCAGGUGUAGCGGUGAAAUGCGUAGAUAUCUGGAGGAAUACCGAUGGCGAAGGCAGCCUGGAUAACACUGACGCUCAUGCACGAAAGCGUGGGAGCAACAGG